This is a long non-coding RNA of Zea mays, 1138 nucleotides long. RefSeq annotates it as MIR394bHG. NCBI's taxonomy places the organism in Eukaryota, Viridiplantae, Streptophyta, Magnoliopsida, Poales, Poaceae. The transcript has a single exon. The record is from RefSeq and is marked validated.
CAGAAGUAGCACCUCCACUAGUAGAUCUAUAGGCAUGGGGAGAGAGAAACAGGUAGAUCUGCUUGAAGCCAUCGUCUCAUAUCGAAUCCUUCAGAUCUCACACACGGAGACCAAGAAAAGCACAAUUCCCAUCCAUCUGAUCUGCAUGCCCAUCCCUCAUCCCUCUCCCCCCUCCAUGGAAUCCCACAAAAGCCGCAACCCUAGCUCCACUCCCUCUAUAAAUAGCGCGCCCCGUAAAGCAGCACAUACAUUACAGUGCAGCAAGAGCCGCAGCAGCUGUGGUCUGUGAGUGGAUCGCUCGGAGCAAGCAAAGGAACUAGUAGUGGCGGCCAUGUGCGCUUAUCAAAGGGUGGCGCUUACUGAGAGUUCCUUGGCAUUCUGUCCACCUCCCUUCUUGACGAUCUUGCAGAAAGUUUGCUUUUUUUGUUUGUUUGGAGGUGGGCAUACUGCCAAUGGAGCUGCGUAGGCCUCCCUUUGUAAAGCCCGCAUGACAUAAGUAAGAGCUACGUUAGAUUUGAUCAUCACCUGUGCCGGAAACGCCUUCGUUUUGCUGCCUUUUCUUGCGUGUGUUCAUUUGAUGGGCCUGUUUGUUUGAUUGAUGUCGAUCGAGGCGUGCCCGGCCGGCCGGUUCUAGCUUGUUUUCUUAGGCUCUUAGCUACAUAUGGUACGUUAUCUGAUCCGUUCUAUUCCAAUAAGCCUAAUCUAGUCUGCUGCUCUGAGGCAGCCGACCAUGGUUUUGGCCUUCUGCUUCUGGGGAUGGAAGAGAUAGUUCUCCCCUCCUCCCUUCUUCCGGAUCCACUAUUUUUGCCUUCUUUUGCGCGCGCAGGCAGCCAAGUUCUUCUUCGGAGGUCUAACCCCGCAGUUCAUGCUUUCUUCUUUCUAUCUUCGCAUGCAGAUGCAGACCUGUUCCUGAAUCUUUGAAGGGACUAAGGGAGUCGUCUGCAAUAUCUGACCAUGACGCCAGGGGCCAGGGAUGAGAAGAAAGAAGAUAUAUACAAGUAAACAGCUGUUUCAAUCCUUGCACAACUAUACACUUGAAUACUGCUCGAAUAUGUUUUGCAUAGUACUUACUAGUAAAUAUAGCUAGGGUUUUGUGCCAGUGACUGGUGAUGGUCAUGAUGAGAUGUGCCAUUCUUUU